Cyprinus carpio carpio is the source of this 655-nucleotide long non-coding RNA. NCBI's taxonomy places the organism in Eukaryota, Metazoa, Chordata, Actinopteri, Cypriniformes, Cyprinidae. The record is from Ensembl.
GGAAUAUAAAUUAAAUAUAAUUUUUUAAUUUUUGUUUUUACAUUAUUUAUAUUGCUCUAAACAAUGUAAAAACUAUUUUUUUCCUAAAAAAUUUUUUUCCUCAGGUCUUAAGAGGUUAAAACUACGCUUACCCUUUCAAUUCACAUUUGCUAUACCCCCACUCUCCAAGUCAAGAUGUCUUUGGCCACCAAACAACACUCUAUUCUUUAACUAAAUGUGUCAGACCUUUGAUGAGUCAUAAGCCAACAUCAAAGUUCCAUAUAUGUCAUGCACCUACCUUUUAUCUAACUUUUCGACCCACAGCAUCAUCUUGUUCACUUGAGACUUCAAAAUUGUUACAAAGCCAACCCCUGCCCACUCCGACAACUCCUCCCAAGUCUUUGACUCUGACUCUUCCCUUUAUAAUCCCCACUACAUCUAUAUGUUAAAAGCUACAUUCCUCACCACUGAACUACUGUCUUAAACUCUCCUGCCCAUACAUCAGUUCCAAACAAAUUGCAUCUAUGGAUCUACAAGGACACACAUCCAACGCAAAUUUAACAACUACUAUCUCCAAAAGAUCCUUUAUCAUACCCCAAGGACUGCACAUCUGCUUCCUCACAGACUCAAUAUGUCGAGAUAUUAAAGACUACAUGCCAAAUGCACAAUGCUGGGU